RNAcentral lists this ribosomal RNA (648 nucleotides) under uncultured bacterium. RNAcentral describes it as "bacterial SSU rRNA". It matches the Rfam family "Bacterial small subunit ribosomal RNA", at positions 52 to 672 of the family's 1533-position model. The record is from RNAcentral.
GGCAUGCAAGUCGAACGGGAAAGUCCCCUUCGGGGGGUGAGUAGAGUGGCGAACGGGUGAGUAACGCGUGGGAAAUUUGCCCUGCAGUGGGGAAUAACAGUCCUAACGGGCUGCUAAUACCGCAUGUGACCUCUUGACCGCCUGGUCGAGAGGUGAAAGGUGGCCUCUCCUUGGAAGCUGCCGCUGAAGGAUGGUCCCGCGUCCCAUUAGCUUGUUGGUGAGGUAACGGCUCACCAAGGCCGCGAUGGGUAGCCGGCCUUAGAGGGUGUCCGGCCACACUGGGACUGAGAUACGGCCCAGACUCCUACGGGAGGCAGCAGUCGAGAAGCUUCGGCAAUGGGCGCAAGUCUGACCGAGCGACGCCGCGUGAGCGAUGAAGGCCUUAUCGGUUGUAAAGCUCUGUCAGAUUGGGAAGAAAACCCAGGGGUUAAUACCCCCUGGGCCUGACGGUACCAUCAGAGGAAGCACCGGCUAACUCCGUGCCAGCAGCCGCGGUAAUACGGAGGGUGCAAGCGUUGUUCGGAUUUACUGGGUAUAAAGGGUGCGUAGGCCGGGUCGAUAAGUCAGAGGUGAAAUCUGCCGGCUCAACCGGCAAAUUGCCUCUGAAACUGUCCACCUUGAGUCCGGAAGAGGAAGGUGGAAUUCCUG